This 460-nucleotide ribosomal RNA is filed under the name uncultured bacterium. RNAcentral describes it as "partial 16S ribosomal RNA". It matches the Rfam family "Bacterial small subunit ribosomal RNA", at positions 30 to 507 of the family's 1533-position model. The record is from RNAcentral.
UGAACGCUGACAGAAUGCUUACCACAUGCAAGUCAUUGGCGAAGCUGCGCUUGCGCAGUCUAGCCAAGGCGGACGGGUGAGUAACGCGUAAGGAACUUGCCCUGCAGACAGGGAUAACAGACGGAAACGACUGAUAACACCUGGUAUUGUCAGGCUGGCGCAUGCCGGCCUGAUGAAAGGAGACGCUGCAGGAGAGCCUUGCGUCCUAUUAGCUAGUUGGUGGGGGAACGGCCCACCAAGGCGAUGAUAGGUAGCCGGCCUGAGAGGGUGAACGGCCACAAGGGGACUGAGAGACGGCCCUGACUCCUACGGGAGGCAGCAGUGGGGAAUAUUGGACAAUGGGGGCAACCCUGAUCCAGCAAUUCUGUGUGCACGAAGAAGGUUUUCGGAUUGUAAAGUGCUUUCAGCAGGGAAGAAGAAAGUGACGGUACCUGCAGAAGAAGCGACGGCUAAAUACGUG